GACUUUGAUAGUGUAUUUCCUGAAGGUCUGAAAGGAGAGACAAGUAGGAUAGCUCCAUUGCCUGCAUUGCCAGGACCCCAAGGACCACAUGGUUUACCCGGACCCCCAGGAGUGCCUGGUAGGGUUGGAACAAUUGGUCAGCCAGGUGAUGUGGGGCAACCAGGGCCAACAGGUGACACAGGCUUUCCAGGGCUUGGGUUUCCUGGAAAUCCAGGCCCAAAAGGAGAUAAAGGCCUUCCUGGAGGCAGAGGGGCACCAGGCUGUGAAGGAAAGAUUGGAGAGCCAGGCCGAGCUGGAAAUGUAGGACAACCAGGAGAAAAGGGUGACCCAGGCAUGAUUAUUCCUGGAGAGCCAGGCAGACAAGGUUCACCAGGAGGUCGUGGCAUUCCUGGCCCAAAAGGUGAUAGUGGAUUUCCAGGGCUUCCAGGCUUACCAGGGAAUGCUGGACGUGAUGGCAAUAGUGGCCCAAGAGGUACUGUGGUCAAAUAAGCAUAAGAAACACCAUAAGAUAGAUCCAUGUUUUAAGGAAAGGGAAGCCAAGUUAAACAUUGUUCUCUCAAAGCUUCAAACUACUGUCUAAAUUUUUAUGAAAACGGUCUCCUUUCUUUUAGGAGAUCCAGGCUUGUCUGGGGUUCCUGGGGAUCCAGGAUUUCCAGGGAAACCUGCUGAAUGUCUUACUGGCCUGCCAGGCUUGCCAGGAGCCCAGGGAGCUGCAGGCCCACCAGGUAGGAUUCUCUGAAUCAAAUGAGAUUUUUGGCUGAGUGGUUCUGGGUUUUGUUUCUACUUUCCAAUGUCC
RNAcentral lists this long non-coding RNA (796 nucleotides) under Coturnix japonica (Japanese quail). RNAcentral's name for it is "lncRNA (ENSCJPG00005008102.1)". The record is from RNAcentral. Lineage: Eukaryota; Metazoa; Chordata; Aves; Galliformes; Phasianidae.